AACGGAGAGUUUGAUCCUGGCUCAGGACGAACGUUGGCGGCACGCCUAAUGCAUGCAAGUCGAACGAAAUCCCACCGCUUGCGGUGGUGUAUUUAGUGGCAGACGGCUGAGUAACGCGUAACUAAUCUGCCUUUGGGAGGGGAAUAACAAAGGGAAACUUUUGCUAAUACCCCGUACGAUCUAUAUUUUACUUUUUAUAGAUGAAAGGUGUCUUUGACAUCGCCCUUAGAUGAGGUUGCGUACUAUCAGGUAGUUGGUGGGGUAAUGGCCUACCAAGCCUAAGACGGUUAGCUGGUGUGAGAGCACGACCAGCCAGAGGGGGACUGAGACACGGCCCCCACUCCUACGGGAGGCAGCAGCAGGGAAUCUUCCGCAAUGGGCGAAAGCCUGACGGAGCGAUGCCGCGUGAGGGAUGAAGGUUUUUGGAUCGUAAACCUCUUUUCUUGGGGAAGAGCAAGGACGGUACCCAAGGAAUAAGUCACGGCUAACUACGUGCCAGCAGCCGCGGUAAUACGUAGGUGACGAACGUUGUCCGGAAUUAUUGGGCGUAAAGGGUCCGUAGGCCGUUUAGUCAGUCUCCUGUGAAAUCUCUAGGCUCAACCUAGAGAGGUCGGGAGAUACUGCUAAACUAGAGAUUGUCAGAGGCAAGUGGAAUUCCCGGUGUAGUGGUGAAAUGCGUAGAUAUCGGGAGGAACAUCAAUGGCGAAAGCAGCUUGCUGGGGCAUUUCUGACGCUGAGGGACGAAAGCGUGGGUAGCAAACCGGAUUAGAUACCCGGGUAGUCCACGCCCUAAACGAUGAAUGCUAGGUUUGCGGGGUAUCGACCCCUUGUGAGCCGAAGCUAACGCGAUAAGCAUUCCGCCUGGGGACUACGGCCGCAAGGCUAAAACUCAAAGGAAUUGACGGGGGCCCGCACAAGCGGUGGAGCGCCUGGUUUAAUACGAUGCAAAGCGUAGAACCU
Molecule: ribosomal RNA, 960 nt
Filed under: Dehalococcoidia bacterium
Lineage: Bacteria; Bacillati; Chloroflexota; Dehalococcoidia
Description: bacterial SSU rRNA
Rfam family: Bacterial small subunit ribosomal RNA
Source: RNAcentral